CUGCGCAGCGGUGCCGAUCCAAAACAGCAGCCCCGAAUCCCCCGCAUCGCGUGCUCGCUCGAUCUGCGCAGCCCCAACAUCGACGCCGUUCACCCCGGCGAGGAACCCCGUGUGUUGCGUGGAGAAGGCAAGUCGUUCAACGCUCGUCGGAUGCUCGGAGCGAUGCACAAAUCGGAAUCGCCAUCGUCCUUACAAACACCGAUUGGGUUUGUUUAUGGUGAGCCGAUGACCGAGAGAUGA
Molecule: unclassified non-coding RNA, 240 nt
Filed under: Zea mays
Lineage: Eukaryota; Viridiplantae; Streptophyta; Magnoliopsida; Poales; Poaceae
Description: misc RNA Zm00001eb303460
Source: RNAcentral